RNAcentral lists this ribosomal RNA (447 nucleotides) under uncultured bacterium. RNAcentral describes it as "partial 16S ribosomal RNA". It matches the Rfam family "Bacterial small subunit ribosomal RNA", at positions 29 to 523 of the family's 1533-position model. The record is from RNAcentral.
AACGAACGCUGGCGGCAGGCUUAACACAUGCAAGUCGAGCGCCCCGCAAGGGGAGCGGCAGACGGGUGAGUAACGCGUGGGAAUCUACCGUACCCUACGGAAUAGCUCCGGGAAACUGGAAUUAAUACCGUAUACGCCCUACGGGGGAAAGAUUUAUCGGGGUAUGAUGAGCCCGCGUUGGAUUAGCUAGUUGGUGGGGUAAAGGCCUACCAAGGCGACGAUCCAUAGCUGGUCUGAGAGGAUGAUCAGCCACAUUGGGACUGAGACACGGCCCAAACUCCUACGGGAGGCAGCAGUGGGGAAUAUUGGACAAUGGGCGCAAGCCUGAUCCAGCCAUGCCGCGUGAGUGAUGAAGGUCUUAGGGUUGUAAAGCUCUUUCACCGAUGAAGAUAAUGACGGUAGUCGGAGAAGAAGCCCCGGCUAACUUCGUGCCAGCAGCCGCAGUAA